This 282-nucleotide unclassified non-coding RNA is filed under the name Basidiomycota sp. Its description in RNAcentral is "partial contains small subunit ribosomal RNA, internal transcribed spacer 1, and 5.8S ribosomal RNA". The stretch from base 1 to 47 matches the Rfam family "Eukaryotic small subunit ribosomal RNA", at positions 1785 to 1831 of the family's 1831-position model. Lineage: Eukaryota; Fungi; Basidiomycota. The record is from RNAcentral.
AAAGUCGUAACAAGGUUUCCGUAGGUGAACCUGCGGAAGGAUCAUUAAUGAAUUCGAAUCGGUCGUCUGUGCUGGUGGUAACACAUGUGCACGUCGAUCGUCAUUCCAUUCUCCUUUCAAUCGUCCAAGUGUGUGUCUGGUCGACCUCGGUCGAAGAGUUUGUGGCCCUCGGGCUCGAUUCGUUCCAGAUGCGCCUUGGUUAUUUCACCCACUCUGGGUAUUUGAAACAAAGAACAUUUUAUAUAAACUAUACAACUUUCAACAACGGAUCUCUUGGCUCUC